GUUUUUUGGUCAAGCUACUAAGGGCAGACGGAGGAUGCCUGGGUACCGGGAGGCGAAGAAGGACGCGGUAAGCUGCGAUAAGCUUCGGGGAGCUGCUAACAGGCUUUGAACCGGAGAUUUCCGAAUGGGGAAACCCGGCCAGGGUUAUACCUGGUCAUCGUGCACUGAAUACAUAGGUGUAACGAGGCGAACGCAGGGAAUUGAAACAUCUAAGUACCUGCAGGAGUAGAAAUCAAUUUAGAGAUUCCGUAAGUAGCGGCGAGCGAAAGCGGAACAGCCCAAACCGAGUCAUUUAUGGCUCGGGGUUGUGGGGCCCCGAUAUGGGAUUGCGAAUGGAUAGCAGAAGGGCAUGGAAAGGCCCACCACAGACGGUGAUAGUCCGGUAUGCGAAAUCUUGAAGCACCCUAGGGUGUCCCCGAGUACCACGAGGCACGUGAAACCUAGUGGGAAUCUGGGAGGACCAUCUUCCAAGGCUAAAUACUACCCGGUGACCGAUAGUGAACUAGUACCGUGAGGGAAAGGUGAAAAGAACGGGGGGACCCGAGUGAAAUAGAACCUGAAACCGUCUGUCUACAAGCAGUGGAAGCACGAUGUCGCAAGACCGUGUAACCGCGUGCCUUUUGCAUAAUGAGUCAGCGACUUACCCUAUGCAGCGAGGUUAAGCCGAAAGGUGUAGCCGUAGCGAAAGCGAGUCUUAAUAGGGCGACAAGUUGUAUGGGGUAGACCCGAAGCCGGGUGAUCUAUCCAUGACCAGGGUGAAGCGAAGGUAAUACUUCGUGGAGGCCCGAACCGAUAUAGGUUGAAAACUGUUCGGAUGAGUUGUGGCUAGGAGUGAAAGGCUAAUCAAACUCGGUGAUAGCUGGUUUUCCUCGAAAUAUAUUUAGGUAUAGCCUCGUAUGAUGACUGACGGAGGUAGAGCACUGACAAGGCUAGGGGUCCCCACAGGAUUACCAACCCUUAUCAAACUCCGAAUGCCGUCAAGUUCAAGUACGGGAGUCAGACUGCGGGAGAUAAGUUCCGUGGUCAAAAGGGAAAGAGCCCAGACCGUCAGCUAAGGUCCCUAAAUGCAUGCUAAGUGGUAAAGGAUGUGGAACUGUUUAGACAAUCAGGAGGUUGGCUUAGAAGCAGCAAUCCUUUAAAGAAAGCGUAAUAGCUCACUGAUCGAAUGGGUCUGCGCCGAAAAUUCAACGGGGCUAAAGCAUGCUACCGAAGCUACGGAUAACGCGCAAGCGUUAUGGUAGAGGAACAUUGUAGUAACCUGAGAAGGUACACCGUAAGGAGUGCUGGAGGACCUACAAGAGCUUAUGCUGACACGAGUAGCGAAAAUGCGGGUGAGAAACCCGCACGCCGAAAACCUAAGGUUUCCUGAGUAAAGUUAAUCUGCUCAGGGUUAGUCGGUCCCUAAGGCGAGGCCGAGAGGCGUAGUCGAUGGAAAACGGGUUAAUAUUCCCGUACCAUUUUAUCAGCGUUUGAGCGAAGGGGGGACGCAGAAGGGUAGGUCAUCCGGGCGUUGGUUGUCCCGGUUUAAAUGUGUAGGCGGAGGAUCUAGGCAAAUCCGGAUCCUUGUUAACGCUGAGGCAUGAUGACGAUGCGGUUUACCGCAAUAAAGUGAUUGAUCCCAUGCUGCCAGGAAAAGCCUCGUAGUGAGUUGAUAAAGUGACCGUACCGUAAACCGACACAGGUAGGUAGGAAGAGUAUUCCAAGGCGCUUGAGAGAACUCUGGUUAAGGAACUCGGCAAAAUAACACCGUAACUUCGGGAGAAGGUGUGCCCUCGUAGCGUGAAGUGACUUGCUCAUGGAGCGUAAGGGGGUUGCAGUGAAAUGGGGGGAGCGACUGUUUACUAAAAACACAGGACUCUGCGAAGUCGAAAGACGCAGUAUAGGGUCUGACGCCUGCCCGGUGCUGGAAGGUUAAGGGGAAAUGUUAGUCGCAAGGCGAAGCUUUGAACCGAAGCCCCAGUAAACGGCGGCCGUAACUAUAACGGUCCUAAGGUAGCGAAAUUCCUUGUCGGGUAAGUUCCGACCUGCACGAAUGGCGUAACGAUUUCCCCACUGUCUCAACCAGGGACUCAGCGAAACUGUAACACCGGUGAAGAUGCCGGUUACCCGCAGCUAGACAGAAAGACCCCGUGCACCUUUACUAUAGCUUGGCAUUGGAUUUAGGGCUAUCAUGUGUAGGAUAGGUGGGAGACUGUGAAGCGGGAACGCUAGUUCUCGUGGAGUCAACCUUGAAAUACCACCCUUGUUAUCUUUGAAUUCUAACCUAGACCCGUAAACCGGGUCAGGGACAUUGUCUGGUGGGUAGUUUGACUGGGGCGGUCGCCUCCCAAAGAGUAACGGAGGCGCGCGAUGGUUCCCUCAGGCUGAUUGGAAACCAGCCGUAGAGUGUAAAGGCAUAAGGGAGCUUGACUGCGAGAGAGACAUCUCGAGCAGGUACGAAAGUAGGUCUUAGUGAUCCGGCGGUCCCGAAUGGAAGGGCCGUCGCUCAACGGAUAAAAGGUACGCCGGGGAUAACAGGCUUAUCUCCCCCAAGAGUCCAUAUCGACGGGGAGGUUUGGCACCUCGAUGUCGGCUCAUCGCAUCCUGGGGCUGGAGCAGGUCCCAAGGGUUUGGCUGUUCGCCAAUUAAAGCGGUACGCGAGCUGGGUUUAAAACGUCGUGAGACAGUUUGGUCCUUAUCUGAUGUGGGCGUAGGAUAUUUGAGGAGAGCUGUUCCUAGUACGAGAGGACCGGAAUGGACGAACCACUGGUGCUCCUGUUGUCUCGCCAGAGGCAUGGCAGGGUAGCUACGUUCGGAAGGGAUAACCGCUGAAAGCAUCUAAGCGGGAAGCCUACUCCAAGAUAAGAUAUCCCGUGGGAUAACCCACCUAAAGGCUCGUUGAAGACUACAACGUUGAUAGGCCAGAUGUGGAAGUGUGGUAACACACGGAGCUUACUGGUACUAAUAAGCCGUGCGGCUUGACCAU
Molecule: ribosomal RNA, 2965 nt
Filed under: Deltaproteobacteria bacterium
Lineage: Bacteria; Pseudomonadati; Myxococcota; Myxococcia
Description: 23S ribosomal RNA
Rfam family: Bacterial large subunit ribosomal RNA
Source: RNAcentral